GCGCCCAUAGCUCAGAUGGAUAGAGCGUCAGCCUCCGGAGCUGAAGGCCGCUGGUUCGAAUCCAGCUGGGCGCACCA
Molecule: transfer RNA, 77 nt
Filed under: Acidobacteriota bacterium
Lineage: Bacteria; Pseudomonadati; Acidobacteriota
Also listed under: 2 other names
Description: tRNA-Arg
Rfam family: tRNA
About the family: Transfer RNA (tRNA) molecules are approximately 80 nucleotides in length. Their secondary structure includes four short double-helical elements and three loops (D, anti-codon, and T loops). Further hydrogen bonds mediate the characteristic L-shaped molecular structure. tRNAs have two regions of fundamental functional importance: the anti-codon, which is responsible for specific mRNA codon recognition, and the 3' end, to which the tRNAs corresponding amino acid is attached (by aminoacyl-tRNA synthetases). tRNAs cope with the degeneracy of the genetic code in two manners: having more than one tRNA (with a specific anti-codon) for a particular amino acid; and 'wobble' base-pairing, i.e. permitting non-standard base-pairing at the 3rd anti-codon position.
Source: RNAcentral